RNAcentral lists this ribosomal RNA (537 nucleotides) under Clavispora sp. RNAcentral's name for it is "partial large subunit ribosomal RNA". It matches the Rfam family "Eukaryotic large subunit ribosomal RNA", at positions 50 to 656 of the family's 3401-position model. The record is from RNAcentral. Lineage: Eukaryota; Fungi; Ascomycota; Pichiomycetes; Serinales; Metschnikowiaceae.
GCGGAGGAAAAGAAACCAACAGGGAUUGCCCCAGUAACGGCGAGUGAAGCGGCAAAAGCUCAAAUUUGAAAUCCUGCGGGAAUUGUAAUUUGAAGGUUUCGUGGUCUGAGUCGGCCGCGCCCAAGUCCAUUGGAACAUGGCGCCUGGGAGGGUGAGAGCCCCGUAUGGCGCACGCCGACUCUUUGCACCGCGGCUCCGACGAGUCGAGUUGUUUGGGAAUGCAGCUCUAAGUGGGUGGUAAAUUCCAUCUAAAGCUAAAUAUUGGCGAGAGACCGAUAGCGAACAAGUACAGUGAUGGAAAGAUGAAAAGCACUUUGAAAAGAGAGUGAAACAGCACGUGAAAUUGUUGAAAGGGAAGGGCUUGCAAGCAGACACGGUUUUACCGGGCCAGCGUCGAAAAGGGGGGAGGAACAAGAACUCGAGAAUGUGGCGCGCACCUUCGGGUGCGCGUGUUAUAGCUCGUGUUGACGCCUCCAUCCCUUUUCGAGGCCUGCGAUUCUAGGACGCUGGCGUAAUGGUUGCAAGCCGCCCGUCUUG